RNAcentral lists this ribosomal RNA (496 nucleotides) under uncultured bacterium. RNAcentral describes it as "partial 16S ribosomal RNA". It matches the Rfam family "Bacterial small subunit ribosomal RNA", at positions 29 to 507 of the family's 1533-position model. The record is from RNAcentral.
AUGCACGCUGGCGGCGUGCCUAAUACAUGCCAGUCGCGCGAACAGACGAGGAGCUUGCUCCUCUGACGUUAGCGGCGGACGGGUGAGUAACACGUGGAUAACCUACCUAUAAGACUGGGAUAACUUCGGGAAACCGGAGCUAAUACCGGAUAAUAUAUUGAACCGCAUGGUUCAAUAGUGAAAGACGGUUUUGCUGUCACUUAUAGAUGGAUCCGCGCCGCAUUAGCUAGUUGGUAAGGUAACGGCUUACCAAGGCAACGAUGCGUAGCCGACCUGAGAGGGUGAUCGGCCACACUGGAACUGAGACACGGUCCAGACUCCUACGGGAGGCAGCAGUAGGGAAUCUUCCGCAAAGGGCGAAAGCCUGACGGAGCAACGCCGCGUGAGUGAUGAAGGUCUUCGGAUCGUAAAACUCUGUUAUUAGGGAAGAACAAAUGUGUAAGUAACUAUGCACGUCUUGACGGUACCUAAUCAGAAAGCCACGGCUAACUACGUG